CCUACGGGAGGCAGCAGUGGGGAAUAUUGGACAACGGGGGGAACCCUGAUCCAGCCAUGCCGCGUGUGUGAAGAAGGCCCUCGGGUUGUAAAGCACUUUCAGUGAGGAAGAACGCCUGGUGGUUAAUACCCAUCAGGAAAGACAUCACUCACAGAAGAAGCACCGGCUAACUCCGUGCCAGCAGCCGCGGUAAUACGGAGGGUGCGAGCGUUAAUCGGAAUUACUGGGCGUAAAGCGCGCGUAGGUGGCUUGAUAAGCCGGUUGUGAAAGCCCCGGGCUCAACCUGGGAACGGCAUCCGGAACUGUCAAGCUAGAGUGCAGGAGAGGAAGGUAGAAUUCCCGGUGUAGCGGUGAAAUGCGUAGAGAUCGGGAGGAAUACCAGUGGCGAAGGCGGCCUUCUGGACUGACACUGACACUGAGGUGCGAAAGCGUGGGUAGCAAACAGGAUUAGAUACCCGAGUAGUC
This 465-nucleotide ribosomal RNA is filed under the name Vreelandella stevensii. RNAcentral's name for it is "partial 16S ribosomal RNA". It matches the Rfam family "Bacterial small subunit ribosomal RNA", at positions 338 to 795 of the family's 1533-position model. The record is from RNAcentral. Lineage: Bacteria; Pseudomonadati; Pseudomonadota; Gammaproteobacteria; Oceanospirillales; Halomonadaceae.